Musa acuminata AAA Group (dessert banana) is the source of this 2250-nucleotide long non-coding RNA. RefSeq lists it as uncharacterized. NCBI's taxonomy places the organism in Eukaryota, Viridiplantae, Streptophyta, Magnoliopsida, Zingiberales, Musaceae. The record is from RefSeq and is a predicted model, not a curated record. The transcript has 7 exons.
GAGACGAAGAAGCUUUCGGAAAGGCUGCUUUCAUGGACAGCGACGCCGAAAUAAGAACCGGCUCGGUGGUGGCCGGGUCGAGCAGCAGUGACCUCGGACGCCAGUCCGGCGAUUCUGGGCCGUCAAAUAAGUGGAACGACCAACCUACUGUUUCCACGAUGGCGGUGUCUCCACCGAAGACGGCCCGAGUCCCGGCGAAAGGCAGCCACAGAGUCUCGUGCUUGGUCGACGGGUGCACGGCAGAUCUCAGCAAGGGCAGGGAGUAUCACCGGCGUCACAAGGUCUGCGAGCUGUACUUCAAGACGCCGGUGUUGAUGGUCCACCGGCAACAGCAGCGCUUCUGCCAGCAAUGUAGCAUAUUUCAAUUGGUAGAAGAAUUUGAUGAGGUAAAGAGAAGCUGUCGGAGGAAACCUCAGCCAUGUUCUAUAAAUCCAAGGAAUUUGUUUCCAGAUCAUCAAGGUUUGCUCUUUGUCGAAACAACCUUUGGCGUAAGAAAUCUCUCACUAGCCCACAAUAUGCAUGAAACUUUCCAUCUACUGCGAGACUGCCAUCGGCAGCAAAGACCCCCCAGAUUUGUGCAGGUCAGCUGAAUCUUAGCACAAUCACUCACUCCUGUGGGCCGCAGCAGUGAGAUGUUCAAUGAUGGAAUAAAGCCAUUAAAGCAAUCCUUUGACUCCCACCGUGCUCUCUCUCUCUCAUCUGUCAUCUUCAACCCAGACCUCGAACACCAGCCCGAGUCAUACGGUGCCACCAGCUGAUGGAAUCCCGGCGGCGGCUCAGCCUUUUGUUUCAGCUUUGCAAUACUGCGGUCUCUCCCACAAGCAUCAAGCAACGCAACACCAACUGCUCUUCCAAGCGCAGGCACGGAGGACAGCAAUCUGCGGACUAUUUUGGUUUCUGGUCGUGCUGAUGAUUCUGUGAUUGAUUCCCAGAACAUAUUCCAUGUUGCAAGUGAAGGUUUCUCGGAGGAGACCAGCCGAAAUCUUCCCUUUUCUUGGCCUUGAUGAUUGGCUACUGUUGAUCACAAUGGAGUCAUGUUCCUUAUUAUCAUUUAUGAUUCGGGUCCACGUCCGCCGUAAUCUUGACCCAAGUCAAGUCAAACUCAAGUCAGAUUGUAAUGAUGCAAUCCGUCUACUGGAUCACCAAUCAAGAUGGUUACCAUCAAAUCAACGGCGACAGGAUUCGGGUUCGUAGUAUCCGUUCGCUUCAAACUCCGUUCGGCUGCGUGUUGGGCGCCGCCCUCGAAACGGAGAAGAAAACCGCCGCAAAGAUCGCUCAAUUCCUUAACGAACCCUUGAAUCCCUUUAAAUUCGAAAAAGGAAGCGAAUCGUAAUCGAGAUUCCUUCCGUUUAAUCGUCGGAAAUCACGAGCAUGAUGAUCUUGGAAGCGGCGGUGGCGGAGGAAGAAGAGGAUGCGAGGCCGAUGUUGGAGCGGCGGGGAGAGCCCUUGAUGGGGAGCGUCGGAGGGGAUGUGCAUUUGAUUCCGCCAUCCAACUUCGGGGUUCCCUAUUUCGGACAAUUUUCCCUUCUUGGAGUCCCUCAACUUGCGAUCCAUCGUGUACUUGUGCCCGGAGCCGUACCCGGCGGCUAAUGCUGAGUUCGUGAGGUCUCAGGGGAUUCGGCUUUUCCAGUUCGGGAUCGAAGGGAGCAGGGAGGCAUUUGCAACUAUAUCUAACCAUACCAUCAUGGAGACUCUUGGAGUCCUACUUGAUGUAAGGAACCAUCCGAUUUUAAUUCACUGCAAACGGGGAAAGCACCGUACUGGUUGUCUUGUUGGCUGUUUCAGAAAAUUAUAAAAUUGGUGCUUAUCCUCUGUGCAUGAAGAAUACAUAAAAUUUGCAUCGGUCAAGGCACGGCGUCGGACAUGAAAUUUAUUGAGAUGUUUGAUGUUUCGUGUAUGAUGCAAUGUGUUCUUCGUAUCUUGUACCAGUACCAUGGCUGUGGCAACCACACUCGGCGCCUUGCUUAUCAAAAGACAUCAUAAUUGCCCAUUCGGCUUCUCUGAUUUUGCAUGGGCAAGGAGAAGCAUCUAACAAGAUUCUCCAUGCACUUGCCGAUCUUAGUUCUCUCAUCAUCUUUUCUGUACAUCAUUCUAGUUAGAAAAUUAUCAUACUUUAAAGAGAAGUCUUUUAGGUGGAAGAACUGCAUCUCUUGAUGAACAUAUUGAUCAGAUAUAGAUUUUUUUUUGUCUAGCUUUUAUUCCUUGAGAAACUUACAGUGUUUAAACGGUUUAAACGCAUACGAAGAUCAC